UAGGAUUCCCUUAGUAAUGGCGAAUGAACAGGGAUGAGCUCAGCAUUAAAAUCUGGGCCCCCGGCCUUGAAUUGUAAUCUCGAGAAGUGCAACCAACGGCGGCGCAGGUGUAAGCCUCUUGGAAAAGAGCACCAAUGAGGGUGAGAGUCCCGUUUGUCAUCUGCAGUCCUCUGUGUACGGUGUGCUUUCUAAGAGUCACGUUCCUCGGGCUUGGAGCGCCAAAGGUGGUAAAUUUCAUCUAAAGCUAAAUAUAGGUUUGAGACCGAUAGCAAACAAGUACCAUGAGGGAAAGAUGAAAAGGACUUUGGAAAGAGAGUUAAAAGUGCCUGAAAUCGCUGAAAGGGAAGCGAAUGGAACCAGUGUUUCUUGCAGAGCUUGGCGAGAGUAAUCUGGAUGGUGCUCUGAUUCAGCGCAAGCGUUUCAGGGUUCUUUGAAGGUGCAUUCUUGCUGUUGCUCUGCUUGCUUGUCAACGUCAAUUUGGAGUUGGGGAAAACUCUGGGGUACUGGAAGCCACCUUUCGGGGGGGUGAACGCCCUUGUAGAACUCAUCUCUAGAUUGAAGUGCUUGCGUUUGGUUGCAAUGCCUCACUCUGUGCCAGCUGCCCUGGUAAAUUCAGCAGGUGCGCGGCGCUCAUCAGUGGGUGCGUUCCUUGACGCUACGAUGCUGACAAAAUGGUUUCACUCGACCCGUCUUGAAACACGGACCAAGGAGUCUAACAUAUGUGCAAGUUCCCGGGUGGUUAAACCUGUUGGCGUAAUGAAAGUGACUGCUGGGAUUUUUGCACCAGCAACCGACUGACCAAUUGAGAGAGGUUUGAGUAUGAGCACAUCUGUUAGGACCCGAAAGAUGGUGAACUAUGCCUGAGAAGGGUGAAGUCAGGGGAAACCCUGAUGGAGGCUCAUAGCGAUACUGACGUGCAAAUCGUUCGUCAUACUUGGGUAUAGGGGCGAAAGACUAAUCGAACCAUCUAGUAGCUGGUUCCCUCCGAAGUUUCCCUCAGGAUAGCUGGAGUUGAACAGUUUUAUCAGGUAAAGCGAAUGAUUAGAGGAAUCGGGGACACGUUGUCUUCGACCUAUUCUCAAACUUUAAAUGGGUAAGAUCCAGUGGUUACUUGAGUGAACUUCUGGGAUAAAUGACAACUCUAAGUGGGCCAUUUUUGGUAAGCAGAACUGGCGAUGAGGGAUGAACCUAACGUUGGGUUAAGGUGCUUAACUGCUCGCUCAUCAGAUACCAUAAAGGGUGUUGGUUCAUUUUAACAGCAGGACGGUGGUCAUGGAAGUCGAAAUCCGCUAAGGAGUGUGUAACAACUCACCUGCCGAAUGGACUAGCCCCGAAAAUGGAUGGCGCUCAAGCGGGUGACUGACACCCAACCAUUGUUGCAAUUGUGCUGCAUCAAUGAGUAGGAGGGCAUGGGGGUU
This 1418-nucleotide ribosomal RNA is filed under the name Gyrodinium dominans. RNAcentral's name for it is "LSU rRNA". It matches the Rfam family "Eukaryotic large subunit ribosomal RNA", at positions 70 to 1399 of the family's 3401-position model. Lineage: Eukaryota; Dinophyceae; Gymnodiniales; Gymnodiniaceae. The record is from RNAcentral.